RNAcentral lists this ribosomal RNA (815 nucleotides) under Flavobacteriaceae bacterium D49-PB-H04. Its description in RNAcentral is "bacterial SSU rRNA". It matches the Rfam family "Bacterial small subunit ribosomal RNA", at positions 41 to 846 of the family's 1533-position model. Lineage: Bacteria; Pseudomonadati; Bacteroidota; Flavobacteriia; Flavobacteriales; Flavobacteriaceae. The record is from RNAcentral.
GGCAGGCUUAACACAUUGCAAGUCGAGGGGCAGCACGUGUUCGGAUGGUGGCGACCGGCGCACGGGUGCGUGAACGCGUGAUGACAAUCUACCUUUUACAGGGGCAUUGAGCCCGGGGAAACCCGGAUUAAUAUCCCAUGGUAUUAUUAAAUGGCAUCGUUUGAUAAUUAAAGCUUCGGCGGUAAAAGAUGAGUAUGCGUCCUAUUAGCUAGAUGGUAAGGUAACGGCUUACCAUGGCUACGAUAGGUAGGGGUCCUGAGAGGGAGAUCCCCCACAACUGGUACUGAGACACGGACCAGACUCCUACGGGAGGCAGCAGUGAGGAAUAUUGGACAAUGGGCGAGAGCCUGAUCCAGCCAUGCCGCGUGCAGGAAGACUGCCCUAUGGGUUGUAAACUGCUUUUAUACGGGAAGAAACACCCCUUCGUGAAGGGGCUUGACGGUACCGUAUGAAUAAGGAUCGGCUAACUCCGUGCCAGCAGCCGCGGUAAUACGGAGGAUCCAAGCGUUAUCCGGAAUCAUUGGGUUUAAAGGGUCCGUAGGCGGGUUUGUAAGUCAGUGGUGAAAGUCUGCAGCUCAACUGUAGAACUGCCAUUGAUACUGCAUACCUUGAGUAAUUAUGAAGUGGUUAGAAUAUGUAGUGUAGCGGUGAAAUGCAUAGAUAUUACAUAGAAUACCGAUUGCGAAGGCAGAUCACUAUUAUUACACUGACGCUGAUGGACGAAAGCGUAGGNAGCGAGCUGGAAUAGAUACCCUGGUAGUCUACGCGGUAACGAUGGGUACUAGCUGUUCGGGCCGAAUGAAAGCCUGAAUUGG